GAAGACCUGCUUCUGAACUGUCGUGGUAUGGAGAAGAUAUAGAAGUACUGGGUUCCUAGAGCAGUUCAAUGCCUGCUGGGGAGAGGUGACAUUCAAGUGAUGAAGAAAUAGGAGUCUGCACCAUUCGUCAGCCUAGCGAGAAGGCGGCUCUAUGCUCACUUUGAAAGAGGGCAGUGCAAAAGUUACCUAGGACAAGGGAAGUUACGGGAUUAAAUGAUCCUUGAUCACGAAAGCAGGUGCACCGGAGGCAAUCAGAAUGCACGUCUGCUGAAGCCCCGAAAGAAGUUAACAGCAGUCAAACUUGCUACCCAUAUGGUGGAAACAUCAGGAUUACUGAAUCCAUAGCAAACUCUCGG
This 356-nucleotide long non-coding RNA is filed under the name Gallus gallus (chicken). Its description in RNAcentral is "long non-coding RNA NONGGAT008015". Lineage: Eukaryota; Metazoa; Chordata; Aves; Galliformes; Phasianidae. The record is from RNAcentral.